UUUGUAUCCCAUUGCCAAUGAAACAGUUGGAAUUACUUCCCACCAAUCUAAAACAUAUUCGCAGCACCAACCUUGAAAUCUUGUAACAGCUUACUUCUGGAGGCAAUGAACAUUGUUUUUUUGAGGUUCGCACAGUAAUGACCACACACAACAUUACAUUACAUUACCAACAUUGUUUUUUUGAGGUUCGCGUAGUAAACAAACACAGAUACCCUUAUUUCACAGCACCAACCUUGAAAUCAUGUAACAUCUAACCAACCUUGCCUGAUGCAAACAUGAAGAAUAAAGACAAUCCAUGAUUUAAUUCAACCAUUAAAAUUUGAGGGUAAAGGAGAGGAUAAAUAAUUGCAGCUAUAUCAC
RNAcentral lists this long non-coding RNA (360 nucleotides) under Populus tremula. RNAcentral describes it as "long non-coding RNA (PTRE_LNC000323)". Lineage: Eukaryota; Viridiplantae; Streptophyta; Magnoliopsida; Malpighiales; Salicaceae. The record is from RNAcentral.